AAAACCUGAUUUGUCUUUAAAUAAAACAUACAUCAUUACAGUUCAUCGAAUAUAGAAUAUGUUUUAGGAGUUACCCAGUUCUUAAGAUCAUGCCAAAAAUCCAACACACGAUGUUAUUUUUUUUGACUGGUAUUUACUCCAUAUCUGAAGUUUUCUGCUCUUGGGAGACGUGUUCAGAAAACGGAAUUGCAUAUACAUUUGAAGAACAGAAAGUUAAUUGGGAUAAAGCAGCUGGGCAAUGCGAAGAUGCCGGUGGAUCUUUAGCUAUUAUUCGGUCGAGAUUUGAUAAGAAUUGUGUCGUCAAAAACCUAAAUCAAAGUGUUGGUUCCUAUUAUAUUGGAGGUUCAAAAUCCUCUUCUUCUGGACUUUGGACAUGGAUGGAUGACACUCCAGUUCCUAAGCCGGGAUACUGGGAGAAAGACGAACCAAACAAUUCCGGAGGAAUUGAAGAUUGCUUAGAGUUUCGGUUGUAUGAUUUAUUUUUGGAACGACGUAUCCUGCAGUGAGAGGAGUGCUUACGUUUGUCAAACCCCAAUAACUCCAUAUUGUGAAGACAUGCCAAACGUAGACUGUGUGCCGAUAAUUGAAAACACCAAAGACAUGGUUGAUUCUGCUCUCCAAGGAAAUUUAUCGAAGACAAAACUAAAGCUUAAAUAAAGAUAGAGCACUUCUAAACUUGCAAACACUUUCAACUGACAACGAACAAACUCCAGAAGACUUUGAUAAUUCAAUAGAUCUGCUGAAUAAAAUCGUUGAUGUUUCCAAUAAGUCUAACGUUUCACUUCCAAAGUCGAUAAUUGUGACAACAAUCGACAAUAUACUAGGAGAAAAUCACACUGCUGCUUGGAAUAACACUUCUACAAAGCAGGUAA
Molecule: RNA transcript, 872 nt
Organism: Saccostrea cuccullata (small rock oyster)
Lineage: Eukaryota; Metazoa; Mollusca; Bivalvia; Ostreida; Ostreidae
Gene name: CD209 antigen-like protein E
Exons: 7
Source: RefSeq, a predicted model, not a curated record